RNAcentral lists this ribosomal RNA (1573 nucleotides) under Escherichia coli. RNAcentral describes it as "partial 23S ribosomal RNA". It matches the Rfam family "Bacterial large subunit ribosomal RNA", at positions 1 to 1617 of the family's 2925-position model. RNAcentral also lists the same sequence under 1 other name. The record is from RNAcentral. Lineage: Bacteria; Pseudomonadati; Pseudomonadota; Gammaproteobacteria; Enterobacterales; Enterobacteriaceae.
GGUUAAGCGACUAAGCGUACACGGUGGAUGCCCUGGCAGUCAGAGGCGAUGAAGGACGUGCUAAUCUGCGAUAAGCGUCGGUAAGGUGAUAUGAACCGUUAUAACCGGCGAUUUCCGAAUGGGGAAACCCAGUGUGAUUCGUCACACUAUCAUUAACUGAAUCCAUAGGUUAAUGAGGCGAACCGGGGGAACUGAAACAUCUAAGUACCCCGAGGAAAAGAAAUCAACCGAGAUUCCCCCAGUAGCGGCGAGCGAACGGGGAGCAGCCCAGAGCCUGAAUCAGUGUGUGUGUUAGUGGAAGCGUCUGGAAAGGCGUGCGAUACAGGGUGACAGCCCCGUACACAAAAAUGCACAUACUGUGAGCUCGAUGAGUAGGGCGGGACACGUGGUAUCCUGUCUGAAUAUGGGGGGACCAUCCUCCAAGGCUAAAUACUCCUGACUGACCGAUAGUGAACCAGUACCGUGAGGGAAAGGCGAAAAGAACCCCGGCGAGGGGAGUGAAAAAGAACCUGAAACCGUGUACGUACAAGCAGUGGGAGCACGCUUAGGCGUGUGACUGCGUACCUUUUGUAUAAUGGGUCAGCGACUUAUAUUCUGUAGCAAGGUUAACCGAAUAGGGGAGCCGAAGGGAAACCGAGUCUUAACUGGGCGUUAAGUUGCAGGGUAUAGACCCGAAACCCGGUGAUCUAGCCAUGGGCAGGUUGAAGGUUGGGUAACACUAACUGGAGGACCGAACCGACUAAUGUUGAAAAAUUAGCGGAUGACUUGUGGCUGGGGGUGAAAGGCCAAUCAAACCGGGAGAUAGCUGGUUCUCCCCGAAAGCUAUUUAGGUAGCGCCUCGUGAAUUCAUCUCCGGGGGUAGAGCACUGUUUCGGCAAGGGGGUCAUCCCGACUUACCAACCCGAUGCAAACUGCGAAUACCGGAGAAUGUUAUCACGGGAGACACACGGCGGGUGCUAACGUCCGUCGUGAAGAGGGAAACAACCCAGACCGCCAGCUAAGGUCCCAAAGUCAUGGUUAAGUGGGAAACGAUGUGGGAAGGCCCAGACAGCCAGGAUGUUGGCUUAGAAGCAGCCAUCAUUUAAAGAAAGCGUAAUAGCUCACUGGUCGAGUCGGCCUGCGCGGAAGAUGUAACGGGGCUAAACCAUGCACCGAAGCUGCGGCAGCGACGCUUAUGCGUUGUUGGGUAGGGGAGCGUUCUGUAAGCCUGUGAAGGUGUGCUGUGAGGUAUGCUGGAGGUAUCAGAAGUGCGAAUGCUGACAUAAGUAACGAUAAAGCGGGUGAAAAGCCCGCUCGCCGGAAGACCAAGGGUUCCUGUCCAACGUUAAUCGGGGCAGGGUGAGUCGACCCCUAAGGCGAGGCCGAAAGGCGUAGUCGAUGGGAAACAGGUUAAUAUUCCUGUACUUGGUGUUACUGCGAAGGGGGGACGGAGAAGGCUAUGUUGGCCGGGCGACGGUUGUCCCGGUUUAAGCGUGUAGGCUGGUUUUCCAGGCAAAUCCGGAAAAUCAAGGCCGAGGCGUGAUGACGAGGCACUACGGUGCUGAAGCAACAAAUGCCCUGCUUCCAGGAAAAG